CGCAAGCCUGACGGAGCAAGACCGCGUGGGGGAGGAAGGCUCUAGGGCUGUAAACCCCUUUUCUUUGGGAAGAACAAAAUGACGGUACCAAAGGAAUCAGCCUCGGCUAACUCCGUGCCAGCAGCCGCGGUAAUACGGAGGAUGCAAGCGUUAUCCGGAAUUAUUGGGCGUAAAGCGUCCGUAGGUGGUUAAUCAAGUCUGCUGUUAAAGACAGUGGCUCAACUACUGAAAGGCAGUAGAUACUGAAGGACUAGAGUGCGGUAGGGGCAGAGGGAAUUCCCGGUGUAGCGGUGAAAUGCGUAGAUUUCGGGAAGAACAUCGGUGGCGAAAGCGCUCUGCUGGGCCGCAACUGACACUCAGGGACGAAAGCUAGGGGAGCG
This 380-nucleotide ribosomal RNA is filed under the name uncultured cyanobacterium. RNAcentral describes it as "bacterial SSU rRNA". It matches the Rfam family "Bacterial small subunit ribosomal RNA", at positions 376 to 770 of the family's 1533-position model. The record is from RNAcentral. Lineage: Bacteria; Bacillati; Cyanobacteriota.